This 506-nucleotide ribosomal RNA is filed under the name uncultured bacterium. RNAcentral's name for it is "partial 16S ribosomal RNA". The record is from RNAcentral.
CACGUAGUUAGCCGGGGCUUCUUCUGGAAGUACCGUCACCCUCUGGGCUAUUCACCCGAGUGGCUUCGUCCCUCCUGAAAGCGGUUUACAACCCGAAGGCCUUCUUCCCGCACGCGGCGUCGCUGCGUCAGGCUUUCGCCCAUUGCGCAAGAUUCCCCACUGCUGCCUCCCGUAGGAGUCUGGGCCGUGUCUCAGUCCCAGUGUGGCUGAUCAUCCUCUCAGACCAGCUAUGGAUCGUCGCCUUGGUGGGCCAUUACCCCGCCAACAAGCUAAUCCACCGCGGACCCAUCCCCGGCCAGAGGCCGAAGCUACCUUUCCCACGUUCCCCGCAGGGAUGUGGGGCCAUCCGGCAUUAAUCCGAGUUUCCCUCGGGCUAUUCCGGUGCCGAGGGCAGGUUAUCCACGUGUUACUCACCCGUUCGCCGCUCGUCCCAGGGCCGAAGCCCUGGUUCUCGCUCGACUUGCAUGUGUUAGGCGCGCCGCCAGCGUCGUCCGUGACGCCGACGG